GACGAACGCUGGCGGCGUGCCUAAUACAUGCAAGUAGAACGCUGAAGAGAGGAGCUUGCUCUUCUUGGAUGAGUUGCGAACGGGUGAGUAACGCGUAGGUAACCUGCCUUGUAGCGGGGGAUAACUAUUGGAAACGAUAGCUAAUACCGCAUAACAAUGGAUGACACAUGUCAUUUAUUUGAAAGGGGCAAUUGCUCCACUACAAGAUGGACCUGCGUUGUAUUAGCUAGUAGGUGAGGUAACGGCUCACCUAGGCGACGAUACAUAGCCGACCUGAGAGGGUGAUCGGCCACACUGGGACUGAGACACGGCCCAGACUCCUACGGGAGGCAGCAGUAGGGAAUCUUCGGCAAUGGGGGCAACCCUGACCGAGCAACGCCGCGUGAGUGAAGAAGGUUUUCGGAUCGUAAAGCUCUGUUGUAAGUCAAGGACGAGUGUGAGAGUGGAAAAUUCACACUGUGACGGUAGCUUACCAGAAAGGGACGGCUAACUACGUGCCAGCAGCCGCGGUAAUACGUAGGUCCCGAGCGUUGUCCGGAUUUAUUGGGCGUAAAGCGAGCGCAGGCGGUUUGAUAAGUCUGAAGUUAAAGGCUGUGGCUCAACCAUAGUUCGCUUUGGAAACUGUCAAACUUGAGUGCAGAAGGGGAGAGUGGAAUUCCAUGUGUAGCGGUGAAAUGCGUAGAUAUAUGGAGGAACACCGGUGGCGAAAGCGGCUCUCUGGUCUGUAACUGACGCUGAGGCUCGAAAGCGUGGGGAGCGAACAGGAUUAGAUACCCUGGUAGUCCACGCCGUAAACGAUGAGUGCUAGGUGUUGGAUCCUUUCCGGGAUUCAGUGCCGCAGCUAACGCAUUAAGCACUCCGCCUGGGGAGUACGACCGCAAGGUUGAAACUCAAAGGAAUUGACGGGGGCCCGCACAAGCGGUGGAGCAUGUGGUUUAAUUCGAAGCAACGCGAAGAACCUUACCAGGUCUUGACAUCCCGAUGCUAUUUCUAGAGAUAGAAAGUUACUUCGGUACAUCGGUGACAGGUGGUGCAUGGUUGUCGUCAGCUCGUGUCGUGAGAUGUUGGGUUAAGUCCCGCAACGAGCGCAACCCCUAUUGUUAGUUGCCAUCAUUCAGUUGGGCACUCUAGCGAGACUGCCGGUAAUAAACCGGAGGAAGGUGGGGAUGACGUCAAAUCAUCAUGCCCCUUAUGACCUGGGCUACACACGUGCUACAAUGGUUGGUACAACGAGUUGCGAGUCGGUGACGGCAAGCUAAUCUCUUAAAGCCAAUCUCAGUUCGGAUUGUAGGCUGCAACUCGCCUACAUGAAGUCGGAAUCGCUAGUAAUCGCGGAUCAGCACGCCGCGGUGAAUACGUUCCCGGGCCU
This 1369-nucleotide ribosomal RNA is filed under the name uncultured bacterium. Its description in RNAcentral is "bacterial SSU rRNA". It matches the Rfam family "Bacterial small subunit ribosomal RNA", at positions 28 to 1381 of the family's 1533-position model. The record is from RNAcentral.